Cinara cedri is the source of this 975-nucleotide non-coding RNA. The record is from the annotation of a GenBank genome assembly. NCBI's taxonomy places the organism in Eukaryota, Metazoa, Arthropoda, Insecta, Hemiptera, Aphididae.
UUUUAAACGCGGUUGUUAUAUUUUUCGAUUGAACGGUAAAAACAAUAUAGCCGUCGUAAAUGCAUAAUAAAUUCCGUUUAAGCCACGGUAUUUAUUGCGAUGACUUAUCUAUUUAGAUAAUAGUAUUGUUUUUUCUUUAUUUUUUAUCUUAUUAGGUUCCUGAAUGAACAUUUUUAUAUUAUAAAGUUAUCUAUAAGACGAAAAAAAUACAUUCACAUCACGCUGCUGAUGGUUGUGCUACUGCUUUAGGAGGAAAGUCUGCAGGGAUAAUGUGUCAUAAUUAGAGUGAUUUAAUUUAAAUCUGUACACAACAAUAGGCCAUUACUAAUGUAGAACGAUUUUGAACGGAGUAUUAUGAGUCGUAUUUUUUUCCCUGUCGCCUAUUAUAAAUAAUAACCCAGAAAUCAACAAAAAAUUAUACAAACAAUAUUUCCCGUAUCUCACAUGUAAGAAAACUACAAGGAAAAUCAAAAAAUGACCUUUCCAAUGCCACCGACGAAAAAUUUUUAAAAGAAAGUUCCUAUAAAGAUUUUGAUUGGAGCAAAACAAGUAGUAGAAAAGGUAGGACAAAUAAUUAAUAGACUCGCAAAAAACAAACAACAUAGUAAAAUCAAAGCACUCCGCGCUUCGCUCAGAAUAUAAAAUAAUAUUAUUUUUAUACUCUUUGUACACAGAUAAAAUUUAAACUAAAGAAAAUUAAAAAAUUUAAUUAAUUGUUUUACUCGUAAUAGAAAUUAUUAAAUAGUUGUAUACGUUUUACUUUUAGUAAAAAAUCUAAGUUUCUAUACAGGUAGCUAAUGAUUUACGCCCUUUGCAUUUUACGGAACUAUUUAAAUAUUUCUGAAUUAUUUAAAUAGUUUUAUUUUCUUGCAAUAGGUAAGUAGGUAGGUUCAAUCAUCAAUCGACAAAUUAUAUUUAUUUUUUUUACCUACCCAUAAAUUCCACUUGUAAAUAUUCUGGAGAAAUUAUCUUUUA